This 253-nucleotide ribosomal RNA is filed under the name uncultured bacterium. RNAcentral's name for it is "partial 16S ribosomal RNA". It matches the Rfam family "Bacterial small subunit ribosomal RNA", at positions 524 to 776 of the family's 1533-position model. The record is from RNAcentral.
UACAGAGGUGCCAAGCGUUAGGCGGAAUCACUGGGCUUAAAGCGUGUGUAGGCGGACCUGUAAGUGUCUUGUGAAAUCCCACGGCUCAACCGUGGAACUGCUUGACAUACUGCGGGUCUUGGGCCACUUAGGGGUCAGCGGAACAAAUGGUGGAGCGGUGAAAUGCGUAGAUAUCAUUUGGAACGCCAAUGGUGAAAACAGCUGACUGGGAGUGUGCUGACGCUGAGACACGAAAGCCAGGGGAGCGAACGGG